RNAcentral lists this ribosomal RNA (253 nucleotides) under uncultured bacterium. RNAcentral's name for it is "partial 16S ribosomal RNA". It matches the Rfam family "Bacterial small subunit ribosomal RNA", at positions 524 to 776 of the family's 1533-position model. The record is from RNAcentral.
UACGAAGGGGGCUAGCGUUGCUCGGAAUCACUGGGCGUAAAGCGCACGUAGGCGGCUUUUUAAGUCAGGGGUGAAAUCCCGGGGCUCAACCCCGGAACUGCCUUUGAUACUGGGUAUCUCGAGUCCGGAAGAGGUGAGUGGAAUUCCGAGUGUAGAGGUGAAAUUCGUAGAUAUUCGGAGGAACACCAGUGGCGAAGGCGGCUCACUGGUCCGGUACUGACGCUGAGGUGCGAAAGCGUGGGGAGCAAACAGG